GUCUACGGCCAUACCACCCUGAACGCGCCCGAUCUCGUCUGAUCUCGGAAGCUAAGCAGGGUCGGGCCUGGUUAGUACUUGGAUGGGAGAAAUCUCCACCGUAAUUA
RNAcentral lists this ribosomal RNA (107 nucleotides) under Neogale vison (American mink). The record is from RNAcentral. Lineage: Eukaryota; Metazoa; Chordata; Mammalia; Carnivora; Mustelidae.